AGCAGAAUGGCCUAAUGGAUAGGGCACAGAAUUGGGAGUCAGAAGGACCUGGGUUCUAAUCCCAGUUUUGCCA
Molecule: transfer RNA, 73 nt
Filed under: Ornithorhynchus anatinus (platypus)
Lineage: Eukaryota; Metazoa; Chordata; Mammalia; Monotremata; Ornithorhynchidae
Rfam family: tRNA
About the family: Transfer RNA (tRNA) molecules are approximately 80 nucleotides in length. Their secondary structure includes four short double-helical elements and three loops (D, anti-codon, and T loops). Further hydrogen bonds mediate the characteristic L-shaped molecular structure. tRNAs have two regions of fundamental functional importance: the anti-codon, which is responsible for specific mRNA codon recognition, and the 3' end, to which the tRNAs corresponding amino acid is attached (by aminoacyl-tRNA synthetases). tRNAs cope with the degeneracy of the genetic code in two manners: having more than one tRNA (with a specific anti-codon) for a particular amino acid; and 'wobble' base-pairing, i.e. permitting non-standard base-pairing at the 3rd anti-codon position.
Source: Rfam by way of RNAcentral